Non-coding RNA from Phalacrocorax carbo (great cormorant), 990 nucleotides. The record is from RefSeq and is a predicted model, not a curated record. Lineage: Eukaryota; Metazoa; Chordata; Aves; Suliformes; Phalacrocoracidae.
GCCCCCGCCACUCGCCUGGUUGGGGUCGGUGGCCCGGAAGACGUGGCAGGCCAUGGGGGAGUCGGGGUUGUCGGGCUGCGCCUUGAUCAGGCAACACCUUGAUAACGUCUGCUGUUUCUGCACAUGGCACCGCAGGAGCCAUUUCAUGUAUCAGAUCUGGGUCAUCGGUUCAUCUUCUGUGUUCAAAGAUUUAAACCUGCAAAAUGGUAAAUCGACAUCUGUUGUCUUGACUCUGUCGACUGCUGAGCAUCUCAUCUUCCCACGUUCCAACCGCGAGAAGCAGCAUUGCUCAGCACACCAGUGAGUCGUGCAAGACACGCACCUACGUUCCUCUGCUCAUUUUAAAUGUAAACUUUUAACACCCCUCUCAAGCUUCACGCAAUGUGGUUGCAGCAUCCAGUACUUGCCAGUUCAGAAGCAUCACUGGGAAGGAAGCCUGUCUUGCUUUAUUUUGGCCAAGCUCUUAGAUGAAUUUUUUUAAAAAAACACCCAUAAUCUGCCUAAGACACAGUAGUGAUGACAUUCUAGCCCCAUUAAUGGGGAAUGGAAUAAUUCUUUGCAGCUCCAGUAGCACCAAGAACAGCAGAACAUUAUUUUUCAGAUUCAGAGGUAAUAAUUCAGAGGAAUUAAGCAACAGGGCCACUUCCAGCAGCAGAGAAGGGUAUUCCUAAGUGUUGCCUAAAGACACUGAAAACUAGGCUGCGUAACAAAAUGCGUAAGAAGGAUUUUAGAGUGGUUAAACUGCACGAAAACCUCGGAUAGAGAAAUGUAAAUGUGUUUUAUAUGAACAAGAUACAAAUCUAGAAAGAUCUGUUUAAGAGAUGGAUAAACAGGGAAAAAAAAUGUAAAGUGAGAAAUGUAACACGCUAUUUAAAAAGCAAGUCAUAAUGCAGAAAUGUUACUAUAAUUAAAUUACUGUUUUAAGCUACUGGAAAUAUACAAUGUAUGGUAUAUAUUCUGUUAUUAAAAUGCUGAAUGUUGUUUAUGUCA